Molecule: ribosomal RNA, 490 nt
Filed under: uncultured bacterium
Lineage: Bacteria
Description: bacterial SSU rRNA
Rfam family: Bacterial small subunit ribosomal RNA
Source: RNAcentral
UCUGUUGUUAGAGAAGACGGUGUGAUAGUACUGUUCAUGCAGUGACGGUAUCUAACCAGAAAGCCACGGCUAACUACGUGCCAGCAGCCGCGCUAAUACGUAGGUGGCAAGCGUUGUCUGGAUUUAUUGGGCGUAAAGGGAUCGCAGGCGGUCUUUUAAGUCUGAUGUGAAAGCCUUCGGCUUAACCGAAGUCGUGCAUUGGAAACUGGGAGACUUGAGUGCAGAAGAGGAGAGUGGAACUCCAUGUGUAGCGAUGAAAUGCGUAGAUAUAUGUUACAACACCAGUGGCGAAAGCGGCUCUCUGAACUGUAACUGACGCUGAGGUUCGAAAGCGUGGGUAGCAAACAGGAUUAGAUACCCUGGCAGUCUGCGCUGUAAACGAUGAAUGCUAAGUGUUGGAGGGAUUCCGCCCGUCUGUGCUGCAGCUAACGCAUUAGGCAUUCCGCCUGUGGAGUACGAUCGCGAGGGUGAAACUCAAAAGAAUUGACGG